UACGAAGGGGGCUAGCGUUGCUCGGAAUCACUGGGCGUAAAGCGCACGUAGGCGGACUCUUAAGUCAGGGGUGAAAUCCUGGAGCUCAACUCCAGAACUGCCUUUGAUACUGGGAGUCUUGAGUUCGGGAGAGGUGAGUGGAACUGCGAGUGUAGAGGUGAAAUUCGUAGAUAUUCGCAAGAACACCAGUGGCGAAGGCGGCUCACUGGCCCGGUACUGACGCUGAGGCACGAAAGCGUGGGGAGCAAACAGG
RNAcentral lists this ribosomal RNA (253 nucleotides) under uncultured bacterium. Its description in RNAcentral is "partial 16S ribosomal RNA". It matches the Rfam family "Bacterial small subunit ribosomal RNA", at positions 524 to 776 of the family's 1533-position model. The record is from RNAcentral.